This 371-nucleotide ribosomal RNA is filed under the name uncultured organism. RNAcentral's name for it is "bacterial SSU rRNA". It matches the Rfam family "Bacterial small subunit ribosomal RNA", at positions 527 to 896 of the family's 1533-position model. The record is from RNAcentral.
GUAGGGUGCGAGCGUUAAUCGGAAUUACUGGGCGUAAAGCGUGCGCAGGCGGUUUAGUAAGACAGGCGUGAAAUCCCCGGGCUCAACCUGGGAACUGCGCUUGUGACUGCUAAGCUAGAGUACGGCAGAGGGGGGUGGAAUUCCACGUGUAGCAGUGAAAUGCGUAGAGAUGUGGAGGAACACCAAUGGCGAAGGCAGCCCCCUGGGUCGAUACUGACGCUCAUGCACGAAAGCGUGGGUAGCAAACAGGAUUAGAUACCCUGGUAGUCCACGCCCUAAACGAUGUCAACUAGGUGUUGGGAGGGUAAAACCUUUUAGUACCGGAGCUAACGCGUGAAGUUGACCGCCUGGGGAGUACGGCCGCAAGGUUA